RNAcentral lists this ribosomal RNA (124 nucleotides) under Streptococcus pneumoniae ATCC 700669. Lineage: Bacteria; Bacillati; Bacillota; Bacilli; Lactobacillales; Streptococcaceae. The record is from RNAcentral.
CUCAGAGUUAAGUGACGAUAGCCUAGGAGAUACACCUGUACCCAUGCCGAACACAGAAGUUAAGCCCUAGAACGCCGGAAGUAGUUGGGGGUUGCCCCCUGUGAGAUAGGGAAGUCGCUUAGCU